AUUGUACUCCCUCCGUUCAGAAAUAACUGUCGGCAAUUUUAUAUUAGCUUAGUAUAAAGUUUGUACUAAGUGCCGACAGUUAUUUCCGAUCAGAGGGAGUAAUGA
This 105-nucleotide microRNA precursor is filed under the name Olea europaea subsp. europaea. The record is from RNAcentral. Lineage: Eukaryota; Viridiplantae; Streptophyta; Magnoliopsida; Lamiales; Oleaceae.